CCUACGUGAGGCAGCAGUGAGGAAUAUUGGUCAAUGGUCGGGAGACUGAACCAGCCAAGCCGCGUGAGGGAGGAAGGUACAGAGUAUCGUAAACCUCUUUUGUCAGGGAACAAAGGCGGGGACGUGUCCCCGGAUGAGUGUACCUGAAGAAAAAGCAUCGGCUAACUCCGUGCCAGCAGCCGCGGUAAUAAGGAGGAUGCGAGCGUUAUCCGGUUGUAUUGGGUUUAAAGGGUUCGCCGGUGGUCUGUUAAGUAAGCGGUCAAAGCCCGGGGCUCACCCCCGGCCCGCCGUUGAAACUGGCAGUCUCGAGUUGGAGAGAAGUAUGCGGAAUGCGCGGUGUAGCGGUGAAAUGCAUAGAUAUCGCGCAGAACUCCGAUUGCGAAGGCAGCAUGCCGGCUCCACACUGACGCUGAGGCACGAAAGCGUGGGUAUCGAACAGGAUUAGAUACCCCUGUAGUC
Molecule: ribosomal RNA, 459 nt
Filed under: uncultured bacterium
Lineage: Bacteria
Description: partial 16S ribosomal RNA
Rfam family: Bacterial small subunit ribosomal RNA
Source: RNAcentral